Larimichthys crocea (large yellow croaker) is the source of this 386-nucleotide long non-coding RNA. RefSeq lists it as uncharacterized. The transcript has 4 exons. NCBI's taxonomy places the organism in Eukaryota, Metazoa, Chordata, Actinopteri, Sciaenidae. The record is from RefSeq and is a predicted model, not a curated record.
AGACGACACGAGCGAGACUCAGCGCCACCCCGCGACCAGAAGAGGGAACUGCACCAGCAGACCAGUGGAUUUGGCCUUCUUGGACUUCAUGUCCUCCAGCGACUCGUAGGUGUUUCCUUGGACGGUGGCGGCCUCCCCGGGGAUCUGCUCAUAGGUGUUGUCAGACAGCCCGGCGGGCGCUGGCCUCUGGACCAAGAAAACAAAGAUCUGCUAAUGUCAACUAUGACCAUGGUUCCCAUCAGACCGACUGAUCGGAAUCAACUCAUAACAGUUAUGCAAAGCCUUGAAACCAGUCUGGGAAGUUCCCGUUGUUGAGGAUAAGCGGCGCCUGCGUCUCGGUGAACCACCUCAGCACCAGCUCCUUCAGGCCUCCUUCUGAGGCCUCC